Molecule: long non-coding RNA, 252 nt
Filed under: Pelobates cultripes (western spadefoot toad)
Lineage: Eukaryota; Metazoa; Chordata; Amphibia; Anura; Pelobatidae
Source: RNAcentral
GUGAAUGACUACGACCCAAAUACACCUCAUGACUGUUUUGAACAGAUGAAAAUGGAAACAACACAUCUACCAACUGUGCAUGAAGACCUAUUGGUAGAUCCCGAUCUCACCCUGUUUGUGGACGGCUCAAGAUAUGCUGAUGAAGAAGGAAGAUACCAUACAGGAUAUGCCGUAACCACAACAGAUGAAAUUGUCAAAUCAUCAUCUUUACCAUCAACUAUGUCUGCACAAGAAGCUGAAUUGCAAGCCCUG